This 301-nucleotide small RNA is filed under the name uncultured bacterium. RNAcentral's name for it is "bacterial SSU rRNA". It matches the Rfam family "Bacterial small subunit ribosomal RNA", at positions 48 to 357 of the family's 1533-position model. The record is from RNAcentral.
CCUAACUCACCCAAGUCGACCGCCGUAGCAUUGUGGAGCGGCAGACGCGAGACCCACCCGUGGGAACGUUCCCUUCAGUUCCCAACAACCCAGGGAAACCUGGGCUAACCCCGGAUACCUCCGUAAGGAGAAAGAUUUAUAGCUGAAGUAUCGCCCCGUAUCCGACCAGCUCGUGGGGUAUUUUCCGGCUCACCAACGGGAAAAUCAGUAUCUGGUCUGAGAGGAUGAUCAGCCUCCUUUUUCCUCUUCACGGCGAAGACUCCUACCGUACUCCUUGUGGAGGUUUCUAAAGAUCUCCUGC